RNAcentral lists this transfer RNA (72 nucleotides) under Phrynosoma platyrhinos (Desert horned lizard). RNAcentral's name for it is "tRNA-OTHER". The record is from RNAcentral. Lineage: Eukaryota; Metazoa; Chordata; Lepidosauria; Squamata; Phrynosomatidae.
GCCAGCAUGGUGUAGUGGUUUGAGCAUUGGACUAUAACUCUGGAGACCAGGGUUCGAAACCUGGCUCAGCCA